GUUGCAUGAUCGGGCAAGGAAAUAUUUAUAGCUGUAAGAUAGGCAUGCGUCCCAUUAGCUGGUUGGUGAGGUAACGGCUCACCAAGGCAACGAUGGGUAGGGGAACUGAGAGGUUUAUCCCCCACACUGGUACUGAGACACGGACCAGACUCCUACGGGAGGCAGCAGUGAGGAAUAUUGGUCAAUGGGCGAGAGCCUGAACCAGCCAAGUCGCGUGAAGGAUGACUGUCCUAAGGAUUGUAAACUUCUUUUAUACGGGAAUAACGGGCGAUACGUGUAUUGCUGUGAAUGUACCGUAAGAAUAA
This 305-nucleotide ribosomal RNA is filed under the name Porphyromonas gulae. Its description in RNAcentral is "bacterial SSU rRNA". It matches the Rfam family "Bacterial small subunit ribosomal RNA", at positions 185 to 489 of the family's 1533-position model. Lineage: Bacteria; Pseudomonadati; Bacteroidota; Bacteroidia; Bacteroidales; Porphyromonadaceae. The record is from RNAcentral.